AGCAAACUAUGAAGAGGAGCCAAAUUGGUUUGGCAUCGGCGUUAUUAAAAACGAUGCAAUAUUUUUUAGCUCCUUAGUCAAGUCGUCGAUCUUCAACUGUUGUGAUUGUACCUGAUCUUUUGUAUUCUGCAAUUCAGGUCAAGUUGUCUGUAACUCAGAUUGAGUGGUUUCUAACUCAUUUUGCAAUGCCUUCUCAUUGGAUGAUGGAACUUGAGAAUUAUAAUGAACUCGCCUUCAUUUCACAAGUCCCCUAUAAUAGCUUGACUUGUCUCCAAAUACUUGCUGAGACAUCUCUUCAUCACUGAUUUGCGAGACGAUCCUUCAGUUUGAGACAACUGAUAUAGCUCGACCAUUUUUUCCUAUAAAGAGAAAUAAUCACUUUAAAAUAAAUUACAAUUAUGUGUUUAAUCUUCAAUUCAAUAAGAAUCGUACAUGUGCAAAUUGUGCCUCAUAACUAAUCCAUAGUUUUUUUUUUCAUUGUAAUGAGUAGAACGAAAAAAGUCUAGAAAACUUUGCACUUCAUCUGAGUCAGAAGACUGUGAACAAAAAUAUUUAUAACAUUAGAAUGUUAACACUUUAAAAUUAUGUAUUAUGUUAACACUUUACAAUUAUGUAGUAACAUAAAUUAAAAGGUUAACAGAGUGAGAUCCUUGGUUUGUGCAAAUGAUCAUAAACAACAUUUAAUGGUCUAAUAAUUGCAUUCAAACACUUUUUACAUGGACAACAAACACAAUUAUUCUCAUCUACACACUUCUCAACAGCUUUCAUAAAUAAAUUAACAUCGUUUCUAUAUUCAUUACAAAGUUUAUCUUCAAGUCACAUUCAACUUUUAUCCAUUAUUGACAUCCUAACGAAAUAAAAUCUUGUUCAUAUCAAUGCUUCAUUAAUUUCUAAAUUUCAUAUCAACAUUUCAUUAAUAAAGAAAUAAACACCCAAGAAAGAUCAUAAGCACUACCACAUAGAAAAAAAUUAAUAAUUUAGUCCUAAUAAAUCAUGCAACAUAAAUAUCAAAACAACAAUCAUUGAUUUUAACAUCUUAUAGAGUAAUUUGAAGCUGAUUUAUAUGUAACACCUAAAAAAUCACUUGAAAUUUUCUCCCUAAUACUCUCGCUAAUAGUUACGAGUAUUGAGUAGAAAUUUGCCCCAACUUUGGAAUCAGCUAUCCUCCUCUCUGUGAAAAAAAAAAAAUUGUAAAUAACUAUCAAUUUUUUGUUUUCAUGAACUGUGAAAAUAGUUAAAAAAUCAAAACCAGUAAAAAAAUUAGCCAAAAGCAGCAGAAAAAACACCAAAUAAUAGAUUUAUCCAAUAAAAAGCAGUAAAAACAGUCGAGAUAACAGUCAAAAUAGUAAAACAGUAGUAAAUAAAAGUUGAAAUAGUAUAAUUAACAAAAAUAACAGAAGAAAAAAUAAAAAGUUGCCUAGAAACAAUAAAAAAACUAAAAAUAGUAGAAAUACAAAAAAAAAAGCAGAAAAAAAAGCAAAUAACAAUUAAUUUUUGUUUAUAAGAACUGUAAGACCAGUAAAAAAAGAAAAAAAAACUUUAUCUAUAACGGGAAAAAAAUUAAAAAAAUAACCCAAAAACAGUAGAAAAAUACAAAUAACAUAUUUAUCCAGUAAAAAAGAGCAAAAAUAACAGUAACUAAGAGUAGAAACAACAGAAAAAUAAUAAAUAAUAGUAAAAAUUGCAGAAUCAACAGAAAAUAAUAGCAGAAGAUAAAAAGUUACAGCAGUAAAUAACACUAGAAACAACAAACACAACAAUAAAUAACAGUAUAAACAGUAGAAUCAACACAAAUAAUAGCAAAAAAAAUAAGCUUACACAAAAGUAGUAAAAAAAAAUCAAAUAAUUGUAGAAACAAUAAAAAUUAGCAAAAACAGUGGAAAUAGCAGCAAACAAGUGCAGCUUAAAGUGACAGUAAUACGGUAAAAUAAAAAUGUAGGCCAAUAGGCUAUGGUGAAAAGCCUAGUAGAGUAGAGGACCACUUCAAAUUUUUUGAGUUAUAGACUUUAGCAAGUUGGAUUUAAUGAAAAACUAAUUCAAGAUUUAACACAAUUUUUUUAAUUAUUUCUCUAUUAAUGUGCAGAGGAGUCAAUGAAUUGGAAAGCAAAAGCUUGGAUAUUUAUAGAAUCAAAUGGAUUGUUGUGGAGUUUGAGGUGUGAACCAAUGAUUUCUACUGUCUAGGUCCAGUUACUCAAACAACAACCUAAUUAAAAUCCUCUUCUUUGUUUAUUAUUAUUAUUCUUAUUAAAAGGAAGAAUUGAUUGGGCAGGUCUAUAUGCUAUGUUUUUGCAAACUUUUCUCAAGGGUAGCAUUCUUUCAAAAAUCAAGUCAAAGAAGCUACUCCUAUACCAUGGUGUUUUCCCCAACUUCACCAUUAGUGCCCACUGCCAUGCAACUAAAUUUUUAAUAAAUAUAUCUCCUACUUUUUCUUUUUGGGAAUAUAUCUUCAAAAUUAUCAGGGUUCAAUUUUGGCUAGUUAUACAAAUACCACUUUUACUUGAUGGUUAGAGAUUCUAUUCCAUAACAGCUCACUCACACAUAGUUCAAAAACUCCCAAGUCACACACACAAGAAAAAAAGAAGGCAUAACAACCGAAACGAGAGAGGGGGUGGAGAGAGUUCCAGUAUAAAUUCAAGAUCCCCAAACCCCUAAACUUGCCACACAUAACACACAUAACACAUACCACCUCCCUCCGUCAGCAGACAGCAAAGCACUCAAGGAUAAAUUGGCACAUCAUCAUAACGAGAAAAAGAAAAAAAAUAUAUAGAUACUUCCAGACCUCAGAAUAGCAAGUGCGCACAAAAGAUGAAAAAAUGUGGACUUAUAAAACUAUCACAGCUUCAGCCAAGCACAAUUAUACCAAAGCAAGGAAGCAAAGUCCAAUAUUGUCAUAGAAUUAUAUAAAAAUUAGAUAGUUAGGCAAAAGUGUGCACACCAUCUCCAUGGACACUUAAAUCCAAAAAAUUAUAACAAAAUUAGAUAAGAAAAGAAUGUAACAUGAAAGAUUUGUGCUCAUACAGGAAUUGUAGUUUUGAAAGCUGACGAUGGUGAAUGAAGUCAGAGGCAGCGAACAACGACAGGAGCGAGGAACCGAAUUGAAAACAACAACAAGCUACAGCGUCGGCAAACUUGAACGAAAAUCACAGGGACGGUAGUUGGCGUGGGUGUGUGAGUGUGACUAUUGUUCUCUCUCUUUCACGAUAGAGAAGAAGAACUCAAGUGAAA
This 3225-nucleotide long non-coding RNA is filed under the name Citrus maxima (pomelo). Its description in RNAcentral is "long non-coding RNA (CMAX_LNC000621)". The record is from RNAcentral. Lineage: Eukaryota; Viridiplantae; Streptophyta; Magnoliopsida; Sapindales; Rutaceae.